UUUCUAUACUUAUAUACAUCUCAAAACCUUAUUAGAUUGACAAAUUCUAAGGUUGGUGAGGCCUGAGGCUGACAUGAGAAACUCAAUUUCUCAGACAACCUGUUGCAUAUUUUUCUUCCUUGUUCUCUUGUUCCUUCACCUCCAUAAUGUUGAAGGAAUAAUUCGCCCUGCAGGGGCACCAGAAGGAUCUUCAGCAACUGGCCAACAUGACAUCCAUGACCAAGGAGAAGAGUUUGGGGUAGACUAUACUCCUCCAAGUACACAUCCUCCAGUCC
Molecule: long non-coding RNA, 275 nt
Organism: Prunus dulcis (almond)
Lineage: Eukaryota; Viridiplantae; Streptophyta; Magnoliopsida; Rosales; Rosaceae
Exons: 3
Source: RefSeq, a predicted model, not a curated record